AAUUUGGAAUGUAGAAAUUUCCUAUUCAUUGCAGAUGUUUUGCUUUUAUCAGUGAAUUAGAUUAUGAUAAUAUUUAACUCCUUUGUUUCUUUCGCUUAUAAAUAUUGUCUAUGAAUUCUAGAUGUAUUUAGUUGUUCCUUUGCACUCCACCGUAAUUGAACCGAGUCUGUAAAAAAUGAAAAUCCCUAAAUUUUUUUGGUACAUUUUCUUUGGGCUGAUAUUUAAAAUGAUAAUGAUAAAUAUAGUCGCAGCUGGAUGCGCUGGCAGUAAAUGCUCUUCAGACGCAGAUUGUUGUGAACAUCAUAAGUGUCAGCAUCAGUUCACGGGCAUGUCGCUUAAAAGAUGCCACCUACUAACUAAAAGAUAAUUAUUUACACAAAUUUUUAAAAAUUAUAUUUGAUACAUUGUAAAGAUUCGGAAGCAAAUCUCAAAUUUAUUUUAUUCCGAAUUUACUACCUCAUUUAAAGUUCUGGAGUUUUUUUUUAAAUUACUCCGUGUAUAAAAAAAAGAGAAUUUUUAUUUUCUUCAUCGGGUGAUGUAAAUUUUAUUUAAAUGCGAAUACACUUGAAAUA
Molecule: long non-coding RNA, 572 nt
Organism: Microplitis mediator
Lineage: Eukaryota; Metazoa; Arthropoda; Insecta; Hymenoptera; Braconidae
Exons: 3
Source: RefSeq, a predicted model, not a curated record